AAAAAGGCAAACUCUGAGUUUCCGUGUCCUACUUUCACUGUCCGUCUUAUAUGAAAUUUUUUUAUAAUUCGUAUUUCAUUGUUGUGAGAUGAUAAAACAUGAUUAAUAUUUUAUGCGUGACUUGUCUUUUUAUUUUUUUUCAUAAUUUUUUUAAAUAACGGUCAAACGUUGAGCACGGAAACC
RNAcentral lists this microRNA precursor (183 nucleotides) under Oryza glumipatula. Its description in RNAcentral is "MIR812 microRNA precursor family". It matches the Rfam family "MIR812 microRNA precursor family". Lineage: Eukaryota; Viridiplantae; Streptophyta; Magnoliopsida; Poales; Poaceae. The record is from Rfam by way of RNAcentral.